GGGGGCAUAGCUCAGUUGGGAGAGCGAUUGGUUCGCAAUCAAUAGGUCGGCGGUUCGAUUCCGCCUGUCUCCACCA
This 76-nucleotide transfer RNA is filed under the name Rhodoferax sp. RNAcentral's name for it is "tRNA-Ala". It matches the Rfam family "tRNA". Rfam says of the family: Transfer RNA (tRNA) molecules are approximately 80 nucleotides in length. Their secondary structure includes four short double-helical elements and three loops (D, anti-codon, and T loops). Further hydrogen bonds mediate the characteristic L-shaped molecular structure. tRNAs have two regions of fundamental functional importance: the anti-codon, which is responsible for specific mRNA codon recognition, and the 3' end, to which the tRNAs corresponding amino acid is attached (by aminoacyl-tRNA synthetases). tRNAs cope with the degeneracy of the genetic code in two manners: having more than one tRNA (with a specific anti-codon) for a particular amino acid; and 'wobble' base-pairing, i.e. permitting non-standard base-pairing at the 3rd anti-codon position. The record is from RNAcentral. RNAcentral also lists the same sequence under 5 other names. Lineage: Bacteria; Pseudomonadati; Pseudomonadota; Betaproteobacteria; Burkholderiales; Comamonadaceae.